UUUUUUUUUUAAACCCUGUGUGGAUCAGUGUAGACAGGCACAGUGCUUCUGGCCUCCGAUUGGGAGAUUGGUUGCCGGGGGCCGCCAAUACAAAAGGAAGUUGCUUUCCAGAAAAAGUGGAAGACAUUCUGGCUACGGGGAAAGGCUUCAACUCACCAGUCCACUAGUCUUGAUGCACAGACUGGACUUGUGCACCUGUUUUUUUUUUUUUUUUUUAAUUCUAACUGCGGAUAUUCCCAAAAUACUGGAUUGUGCUCCAGUUGACAGCAGUCGGAAGAGUUGAGGAUAAUCUUACGGUGAUUGGACAAACAAGAAUCGGGGAUUGUCACCGAUGGGAAUGGAGUUCUCAAUUUGUUGACAUUCUCCAGGAAAAGACAUGUUGUGAGGUUUGCGGUCCAGCGGUUGAGGUUUAGACCAGCGGGGAAGGAACCUGCUUGGUUUCCAGCCCCGGAGGUUCCUUUUCCGCUCCGCCGGGAUCUUCGUUGCCGGAGUCGAUGGGAGCGUCGUCCUGCAUGAGCGCGCGCGGCAAGGAAUGAUGUCGUUUUUGGGGGGGCAAACAACAGAGGGGGAAAAAAAGGUGAUCUUCACAAAGGGGAAAGCUCACCGUCACCCAUGGGUGCGAGAGAACUUCGUCUGCCGUGAAGCGAGCGUCCACGUUCACCUGCAGCAUCUGACUGAUCAGCAUCUGAGGAAAAGAUGGCGGAACAAUGAGAUUGCGUUUUUCACGGGGGAUACAUUUUACGCCCCUUGUAAUCUGUGAAAAUUGACAAAGUAAAGGAGAUUAUGGUUUUACCCAUCCGGCACGUUUUAAACAUUUAACGACUAGAAAGUGAAUUCAGAGAUUUGUUUCUAAAUUCUUGGUAGAUAUUUGAAGAUAAUUGCUGAAAACAGACUGGAAAGGUUGUGAACCGUAGAGUGAGCAAUGCCUUCACCCUGAAAAUACAUAUUCCCUUCUGAUAGUCCGACGGCGCGUCCGCUUUAGAGCGCCUCGUCGUCGGCUGCGAGCGCACGAAUGUCACGCAGAGAAAGUCGGAAGAGGCAGGAAUUUGUUUUUUGUGUUUGGACACGCCUAGAACAUUCCAGAGCGGAGACAAUGGCUUGAUUUUAUUUCACAAGUUUGAAGCCUCAUUUUACGCGUUUUAUUUAUUUAUAUAUAUUUUUUUGAUCGUUCAAAUUUGGCAGGAUUGUUGACAUUUUUCUCUCUGAUGUGUUAAAUUUAGAAGACAUUUUCACUUCACAUUGACUCGAAUCAAUAUUUCCGGGUUGUCUGUGUUUGAUGAUUGAUGUUAAAAGUUCGAAGCUGGAAAAACAACACAAAAACGAUGUAAUGGAACCGCAGUAGGCAAUCCGAAAUGUAGCAGAGAACACGAGUUUGGGGACGUUCUUCUAGACUCUUCCGUGGAUGGCUGUAGCCGUCACCUUGGCAGGAAGGCUGACGGCGUCCCAGUCCGGAGACGGGAACUCCAGCUUGCCUCUGAGGAUCUGAUCGAACAGCUCCUCCUGGACGUUGUUCUCGCUGAGGAAGACGAGGCACAAUUAUAUUUUGUUUCGGACCCUCGUUGGGUCCAGCCGCCUGUGCGGUAGAUUCUCGCUGACCUUCUGAACGGCGGGAAACCACAAAGGAGGAUGUAGGCGAUGAUGCCCGCCGCCCAGAUGUCCACCUUCAGUCCGUAACUGCGCACACACAUCCGCAAGCGAUGAAUGCCAGCUCAAAAAGAAAGCCCUGUGCUCACUUCCUGUGUCCUCUCACCCGGUCUCGGCGAUGAUCUCCGGGGCCACGUAGGUCGGCGUGCCGCAGACGGUGUAAAGCGGCCCCUCCACCACCGUGGCCAAACCGAAGUCUCCCAGUUUGAGCGACUUGGUGCCAUCCGGGUACUCGCACACCUGCCGGGAACACAAACGCGUCACACGGCGCGGUGGCGCCCACGUUGGCCGGCGCCUACCAGCAGGUUUUCUGGCUUGAUGUCUCUGUGCACGAUGUUCAUCCUGUGCAGGUACUUGAUGGCUCCGGCCAGGUUGUACACCAUGGCGCUGGCGUCGUGCUCGCUGUACUUGGUGGACGACGUGAUGGCGUCGAACAGGUCGCCGCCCUGAGGCGGGCACAGAGACGGAGUUGUAACUUUGACCCUACAGUCGGUCGUCACGCACGCGGGAGGAAGAAGGCCACCUUGACCAGCUCCAUGACCAGGAAGAGCUGAGACGGCGUUUCGUCCACCUCGAUGAGCUGGAUGAUGCUGGGGUGUCGAACCCGCCGCAGGACCGCCACCUCGUUCUCGAUCAGCAGCGAGCUUUGUCGAUGAUCUUCAGAGCGAACUCCUGCCCGGUGGACCUGCCAGGAACAUCAGAAGCGUCACGGCGCUUUCGGCUAACAAAAACCAAACUUGGUUUAUCUUUACCUCUCGACGCACUCCUUCACCACCGCAAAGUUUCCAUCGCCGAUGACUUUCCCGAUAUUGUACUUGCUGCUGAUGAGCGUCGACGACACCGUCAGGUUUCCAUUCUCUUGGAAGAGAAGUUUGACCGGUGUGGUGACUCGGCCGUCGGACAGACAGUUUGGCGGUCGUGACAACACACCUUCGGGAGUGACGCCAUCGGCGUGCUCGGCCGCACCGUUGACGUCCACGGAUGAAGAGCGAUGAGGGGAAACCUGCGGACGCGAGCGAGACGCGGAUCGUGUUGGUGCAGAGGAUGGAGACGAGACGAAGAGUAGGCUCGCAACCUUAACGAAGAGCCCACCUUGAGGCUGCUGCGUGUCCCGGGACCCGUGGGGGAGGGGCUCGACCUGGACGACUUUGCGGGGGCCUGCGAUCCUGACGCCUCGUUGGCUGCAGAGGAGAGGAAAGGAUCGUGUUGAGCGAAGAUAGGAAAGCGUCUCGAACGGGUCCCGUGCGGAUGCCGGCUCCCACCCGAUCCCGGUGACCUGGCCUGGGCCGCAGCUUUGGCUGAAGCCUUGGAGGAGGCCAAACCAGAUCCACCGGAACCCUUAGGAGUCGAGACGGCGGGACGAGAUGCUUUGACUCGGCACUCUGAAAAAAGACAGACGGCUCUAAGCGCACGACUCGGGAAAAGUUGCGGCAAUUGGGUUUUGGGGUGACUUUUCAUCCUGAUGGCAUGCGCUUCUGUCUGCGAGCGAGACCGUUAACAAAGGCCGCCGUCUUGCCACCGUGAGUGAGCACAAAGUCGUCCUGAGCGUAGCGAAACUUCUCCAGCCCGCACGCCAUGAACACGUCGUCGUCUCCGAAGAAGUCCUGUAGACAGGUGCAAGCUGAGCUCACCUGUUUUCCGUCCAGCGUGUAGAGCCUCUUGACGGCUCCCGAGUCCAGCUUGAUGGCCUCCGUGAUGUCGGCCAGCACUUGUUCGAAGGAGUGAGCCGUCUUCUUGUUCAGGAGGAUCCGCACCGCCUUGCGAGGCUUGACGCCGCUUCGGAUCACCGUCACCAACUUGGGCUUGAUGAAGUCCUUGCCCUCUCGGCCCUCGGGACGCUCUUUGCCGCCGACGCAGACCGCGGGCCCGGCGGCCGCGACGGAGGGCCUGCCCGAGCUCGCCGCGGCGCUCCCGGCGCCGGGUUUCCAGCUCGGGACGGAGAUCUUGGUGUAGUCCACUUUGCGGUAAGGCUGAUUGGAGGCGCAAACGUAGCACUCGCCUGAGCAGAGAGACGGGACUCAUGAGGAGCUUACACGGCUUAGCAAAAGUUUGGGUUGUGGAGCUUUCUGGUAAACUGCAAAUGCACUGCAACCUUUCCAGGCGAACUUAACCAAAAGCCCCUUUUUGUGUGACGUGUGUGUGAACGCGUUACGUUGCAAAGUGAUGCGGCUGUCUUAGUUUCCGUGCAUUAGUGCUCAUUAGUGGUCUUUACAGUCAUCAAUAUUGACGAGCGCAGGGAAAGGAGCAGUUCAAGUCGCUUCAACUACAAUCCUAUAAGUCGGGAAUGCUGCCCAAAGAUAGGUGCGCCAAGCUUGUGCCGUCAUCCACGCUAUAAUAUUGUAUUUUAUAAAAACACAAUUAAAAGGAAUAUGAAGA
Molecule: long non-coding RNA, 4020 nt
Organism: Phycodurus eques (leafy seadragon)
Lineage: Eukaryota; Metazoa; Chordata; Actinopteri; Syngnathiformes; Syngnathidae
Exons: 3
Source: RefSeq, a predicted model, not a curated record